UUUAGCUGGUUGAGAAAGAACAAGAGCUGCCCGCUUACUUCAGCUGGAUUCUAAACUAAGCUUUGAUUCUUUGGGAACCAUAACAUUGAGCAAAUUCCAUAUCUGAACUUGCAUUUUCUCCUUUCCGAAGCCAUCUUUUAUACUCUUGCCUCCUUCGUUGGUAGGUAAGUUACUACUUUGUUGGAGCAUUUAAGGGACAAGAAGAAGAGGUUGUUAAUCUAUUUAUAUUGGAAGGAUUUUGAGCUAAAAGAUGUAGAUUGCUUUCCUUUAUGAAGUUGGAUUUUAAUUACAAUCAUUAUCCAAAGAUCGAUGAGCAAAACUGAGAAACAAGAGAAAGCAAAAAUAGAAAAAGAAAGCUUACAAACAGACCUAAAUUAACAUAAGCUAAUAUCUUCUACGCUGUGUUCCCCUUCUUGUUGCUGGCUACUUGGGGGAUGAUCAGCAUAAGAAACCGAAGUUGCCAUUGUCGAAGUUGAGAGCAUAACUGAAAGGAUCGUAGUGGAAGCUAAACCUCUGCUUGGAUGUCCUAGCCUUCACUUGUCUCCUUAUCUCGGCUCUAACUCUCCAAAACAAGCUCCUAAACUUCCUCUUCCCACACAAAACCACCACAUUUGGAUCAAAACGGAAUCCAAUGACCCCCAUGUCUCUUUCUCUCUCAAGAAACCCAGCAAGAAACUGCAAAUGUAACGAGACAGAGAGCAAGGAACGCAUAUAUGAAGUGUAGGGUAGGAGAGAGAGUUAGCUUGGAGUACAAGCCUACAGGGUGUCUGCUACCUGCUACCUUUUGGAUCAGUUCAACUUAGCUUCUCAAAAGCAAAAGUGUUGGAGCAGUAACCGAGGCAAGAGCUCUUUCUCUCUAACUCUUUUUUCGCUGUAUGACUGUAUCCACUGUCCUGUCGCUGCUAAGAAAGCCUACGGCGCUGUCUGUCUCUGUCUCUGUCUCUGGUCUUGUAUACUAGGGGAGGGAAGUUGGGGGAUAGAUUUAUGGGUUGGUCACAUGGGCUGGAGACAGAGACUUGAGAGAGACUUUUAAAUGGAGAGUAGAUG
Molecule: long non-coding RNA, 1047 nt
Filed under: Theobroma cacao (cacao)
Lineage: Eukaryota; Viridiplantae; Streptophyta; Magnoliopsida; Malvales; Malvaceae
Description: long non-coding RNA (TCAC_LNC000797)
Source: RNAcentral